Gymnothorax javanicus (giant moray) is the source of this 73-nucleotide non-coding RNA. The record is from the annotation of a GenBank genome assembly. Lineage: Eukaryota; Metazoa; Chordata; Actinopteri; Anguilliformes; Muraenidae.
GGCACGGUGGCAUAGUGGUUAGCACUGUUGCCUCACAGCAAUAAGGUCGUGGGCUCAAUUCUGGCCUGGGGCC